AUGGUGGCGUAUCUGGCACAGGUGGCGCGGGCGCGAGUCCCCGCGAUGCCCCGGCUUCUAACUCCGCCGCAGGGCUCUGCCCGCCGCCCCUCCGCCUGGGAAGGGGCGAGCAGAUGGCCGCCGAGCCGGCCCCCUCCCCUGGCCAGAGGGCACAGGCGACUCACGUGGACCGCGCGGACCUGUCCCCGGGUGGGGGUCGCCCGGCUGUCCCCGAAGCCCGGGCUAGCCACCCCCCACCCCGGGCCUCGGAUCCUUGCUCUGUCUGUAGCUCCGCACUGCGCUGGCCGGCCGGGACCCGCGCGGCUCUGCGCUCGGGUCUGGUCCGCCCACGCCCACCUUGCCCAUCCGCACCCCGACACGCACAGUCGCUCACACACGAUACACACUCCGCGCACCGGUCCCCACCAGCAACUGCGCCCCGACACGAUUCCACAAACGCAGCCCCCAAAUGUGCCGAUUCCAGCUGCACACACGGAUGCCCCACGAGGACACGCCAUUCCAGGGACACACCGCCGUACUCAGUCAACCACAACUCCACAGCGCAGAGAAACACAAUCACCGCCGGCACACGCGCACACAAGCACACACACGCACACACACACACGCAGAGAGCCCGACCGCAGCACACGCCCCGCACUACCCGCAGCCCAACCCCUUUCCUACCUGCUCCGUCGCAGGACGCGAUCUGUCGAGCUCCCCGAGCCCAAGUUCCGCGCCGCCGGCACUGGGGGCGGGCACGGGCCGCUGCGAGGGACUGGCGCGCCGAGGCCAGGGAAGGGGUGCCUAGGAGCGCGGGCCUCCGUGCGCCCGCAGCCGCCGCGCUGGCCCUGCGCUCAUCGCCUCGCAGAAAGACAAAAGAAAGCCGGCAGAGAGGGAGGGAGCGAGGUGGAGGCGCCCGCGCGUCCGCAGAGCCGCCAGUCCGCCGCCUGCAGUCGCCGCGGCCCGCCCGCCAGCCCCGGGAAGGAAGGGGACGCGAAGGCGGGGCCCGGAGGCGGGGGCCGGAGGCGGGGCGCGAGCUCAAGUUUCCUGCAGACCCGCCCCCGCUCGGCCACGCCCCUCCAUUUAACCCCGCCCACCAACCCACGUUGGUCCCACCCCAGCUGUAACCGCCCCCCGCUUCUGACCCUGCCGCGCCCCGCCCCCGCCCUCUCCACGCCGACCCCUUGCUGCCCCGCGUGGAUCUCCAGGUAG
RNAcentral lists this long non-coding RNA (1191 nucleotides) under Cervus hanglu yarkandensis (Yarkand deer). RNAcentral's name for it is "lncRNA (ENSCHYG00000011210.1)". The record is from RNAcentral. Lineage: Eukaryota; Metazoa; Chordata; Mammalia; Artiodactyla; Cervidae.